UACGUAGGGUGCAGGCGUUAAUCGGAAUUACUGGGCGUAAAGCGUGCGCAGGCGGUUUGUUAAGAGAGAUGUGAAAUCCCCGGGCUUAACCUGGGAACUGCGUUUCUAACUGGCAAGCUUGAGUGUGGCAGAGGGGGGUGGAAUUCCACGUGUAGCAGUGAAAUGCGUAGAGAUGUGGAGGAACACCGAUGGCGAAGGCAGCCCCCUGGGCUAACACUGACGCUCAUGCACGAAAGCGUGGGGAGCAAACAGG
This 253-nucleotide ribosomal RNA is filed under the name uncultured bacterium. RNAcentral describes it as "partial 16S ribosomal RNA". It matches the Rfam family "Bacterial small subunit ribosomal RNA", at positions 524 to 776 of the family's 1533-position model. The record is from RNAcentral.